AGAAAGAAAGAAAGAAAGAAAGAAAGAAAGAAAGAAAGGUUAAAGAAGAAGAAGAAGAAGAAAGAGCUUUGAAAAACAUGCCCUCAAUGAAAGAACUUUCUUGACUCCGUGAUGCAAACAGCUUUCAGGCAAUAAUCACCGCGGGCACCACAGUGGUGACUGAGGUUGGGGCCAGCUCGGGAAAGUGACGCCCAUCUGGAGGAGGCGUGGAAGAAGGGUGGACGAUCCUGAGGCAGAGCCCUUCCCGUAGGACACCGUGCCUGCUUAUCAGGAGCAAAGCCGCUCUCUCCGCCAGAAGGUGACUGUGGGGGCUCUGGCUCCCCCCUCCAGCCUCCAGCCCGACUCCUAUGGAGGAAACGCUGAAUUCUCUCCCCCGUUCAGGUUUCUACCCACCGCCCCCCCCACCCCCAAACAAUUUUGCAUAUAUUUAAAUCUCCUCUGCCGUUUCCAGUCUGAGCCGCAACCCCCCCCCCCCCAGAAAAAGAGAAAAAGAAAUUACAAAGCCCGUCAUCUGUCUCCGUCCCCGCACCCCAUCUAUCAGGGCCCGAGCGCGUCGCCUGGAAGGAGGCGCGCGCCCGGACGGCCGCUUUAAUGGGGCGCCGCGUGUGACUGUGCGGCCGCGGCGGGCGCAGCCGGCCGGCAUUUGCAUACAUAUUAAACGGAGCAGUAAAAAAUGCAGACAUGCAAACCAUUUGGACGGGCUCCUCGGCGCAGAGCCUGCCAGGAAAUCAAUCUUCUGGUUUCUUAAAGGAAACCUGCUCGGGAGGAGGUGGCGAAGCCAGGCAGCCCGCGGGCCUUGGGAGGGGGCGGCCGUCAUCUGUCCAUCUGUCCGCGGGAGCCCAGCCGGCUGUGGGGGUCCUUCCCGGCCACGGCCUCGGUGCACCGCGGACAGGGAGCGGGGACGCGGAGCCGCCGUCAGCCGGGGCGGCGGCGGGCCCUUGGCCGGGCCGGCUGUGCGCCCCAAAAGCAAGAGGCUCGGCCACUCUGAGCUCCCCUCACCCCGUGGGCUGUGACCCUUUGGCGGGGCGUCUCCCCCUGCCCGGUGGGUGCUAAAGUUCCUCCCUGGCUUUAAACUCCCUCCCUACGCCUGCGUGGCCUGGCGAGGCGCUGCUCCCUCGAGCCUCCUGACCUGCAAAUGGGGUGUGUGAUUCUCAGAGGAACGUCUAGCUCACUCGGGUCACCUACCCCGCCCUCCAGAGACGCGGGGUCCCAGUAUUACCCUGAGCAAGCCCCGGAGGACUGUCCCUAGCACCACGAAAGGCAAGGGGCCCAGAGCCUUAGCAGAAACAGACUGCCGCCCGUUCCGCCCACCCCCUCCCUUAAUUCCACUUUACAGAUACGGAAACUGAGGCUCUGUAAGAGGUGCCACCACCAGGAGGCUUGAGACAGGGGGAGCCGGAGAUUCCAAUGGGCUCCGAGUGACCGUGGAGGGGCCUCCCCAGACCCCAGACGGCACUGGUCAGUACUGUCAGGGGACGGACGGAGCUCAUUCCGGGGUGUCGGGGAAUGCUGUUCUCCCAGAGAAGGCGGGUGUGCCUGCGGAGAAAGAAAUUCAUUUGGUGCCUGGGCGGUACCGUGAAGGUCCUUCCUUGAAGGGGACUGGAAUAAGGAAGGAAAAGGGGGCUUUCGAGAACCAGCUCGAGUUUGUCCUCCAUCCGUUCACGCCGCACUCCUGGAGGUGACGGGUGGAGGUGACCAGCGGCCCCAGGACAGGCUAAGCAGUGGGCAGCACCAGGGAGGUGGGGAGGGGAGGGUUGCGCCCAGCCCCCCCGAGAGCCAACAUCCUCUCUGAGCCCCUGGGGCUUGAGCGAAGAGCCCAGCCAGGGCUGGGGGAGGGGGGCCUUUGCCUUCAGUGGGGAGAGCUUCCCACUCCGGUGGGCGGUGCCUCCCUGUGUGACCUUGGGCAAAGGCCCUGCCCUCUCUGGGCCAAGGUGGCUGAGCUGACUGUACUCCUCUGUCUCCCCUUGGAAGUCCCUCCCUUUCACCUCUGGCCUCCAAGCUCUCUGGGCCUCAGUGCCUUCUGCAGGCUCCAGGGUACAGGCCGGGCAGGCAGGGGGGGAGGAAGCCGGCAGGGCGGGAAAAGGCGGGAGGGGCAGGAGUUACAGGAACCGGCUGGGCCCCGGCGAUUGCUCAACUGGGGAGCCUGGCCCUGCCGCCUCCACUUCCAGCAGCCGGCCCUCCCUCCCAGCUCUGCAUUGCAAACAUUCCUCACCAACCUCGGAGGCUGCUGCCCCCCCCCCCCAGGGGGAACUGCCGCAGACACAGCACGAGGCCGCCAGGAACGCUUAACCCCUUCCGUCCUUCCAGGCAGAGCCUUCGGGGCCGCGAGGAUAGAGCUGGGUGGCCAGCGGGGUUCCCAGGUUCUGAGUGACCGGGUCAGGUGGAUAGCCGGCCCCAGGCGACCAGCCUGAGUCAACAGGCUGUAUGUCGGGUCCCUGCAGUCUCCCGUCAUGGAUUCACUCUGCAGACAUUUCCAGAGCUCUCCCGGGAUGCUGGGCCUGGGUAAUUGGACAGGGAGGUCCUCAUGGAGCCCACGUUCCAUUGUGUGUGUGUGUGUGUGUGUGUGUGUGUGUGUGUGAGUGGAGAGGGGUUAUCAGAUAAAGAGGAGUUUUUUAGAUCAUUGCCAUGAUGAGCGCUACAAAGGAGAAGUACAGGGUGAGCCUGAGCACGAGCUAAAGUGCUCAAUUAGGCAGGGAGGGCUUCCUGGAGGAAGUGACAUUUAGGGAGCCAUGAAAAGAGGGGUGUUCUAGGUAGCAACGCGAGGCUCCAGAGAGAAGAGAGAGGGAGAGGUCGGCAUGUUCCAGUCUGUGUGUCUGAAGGAGAGAGGGUGAGGGGUGGAGAGUCCUCAGGUGGGAGGGCUUGGCCUGCGCCAGGCUCCAGAAGGCCUUGGGGCCACUCCCAGGCUCAGACUGUCUUCCGAGGGCAGUGAGGAGCCAUGGAUGGUUCCACCAGGGGAACGCCACAGUCAGAUCCAACUCUAGGCACUAGGAUUCCCUCGAGUGAAAAACAGAACCUUAACAGAGAGAGGGAGCUCGCAUGUUUUCACAGACCAGAUACAGUCUAAGCCCAGAACACCUGAACCACGCCAAAGUGCCACCAACAGGAGACAUUUCAAAUGGCAGCCUGGCAGCCGGGCCUGGCACUGGAUUCUCCUGGGGCCCGGGUGGCCACUCUGAGCCUUGCGGUCGCCAGGCCGGCCGCAGGCAGCGGGCUCAGGCCGGCUCCUCCUCUGCUCCAGACCCCACUCUGCAGACAGCUGGAGCUCCAUAAAUGCAGCAAUCAGCGCGCUGACAUUAAGAGGGGCUGAGAGAUCAUUCAGGCCCGUGGCCUCCUCCCUGCACAGGUGAAGAAACAGACCCCGGGACAGCUUCCCCUGGGGGCAGGUGUGGCAGCGCACGUGUUCAGGGAGGAGGCCAGCCUGCCCAGCCUGCCUGUGACCUUGGCACCCACAGAGGAGACCCCCCCCCCCAAGCCCAGAAAACCAAGAACCGUUUGGACACUGGCAGUCACUAAACCCAGCUCGUGUCUGCUCCUCCGCUCCCUUGGAGCUUGAAAGAAUGAGCCAGAGGACAACGUAAGCUGGUAGGAAACUUCUAGACCGUAUUGUUUCCACUGUGGACACAUUUUCUUCUCUCCCUCUCCUUCUCUUUCGUUUUAAUGAAGCAUUACCCAGAACACCAACAUACCCAGGAGAUGGAAACAGAGUUGCCCUGAUUGGACAGGAGAGGGGUGUCCUUGGACUUGCCCCAUGCACGCCCGGGCGAUCUCUGUGUCUUCCUGGCUGGCCCCAGGCUCCUCGGAACGGACGGAGGGCCAGCAGACGGGAAACUGAGGACCGUGGAGUCACCUGCCUGGGGUCGCACAGCUAACCGCAAAUGGGCAGGCCUGGGGGGGUGCGGGUGUCUCAGGCCCCCAGGGAACCCGCUCCUGAACACUAGGCCUCACUGCCUCCCAGCCUGAGGAUGUGAUCACUUCUCACAGCGACGAGGCUCCGGUAAACCCAAGACCCCCCACACCCCCACCCCGGCUCACCCCGAUCCCGCGUCUUGUCCACGUACGUGAAAUAAAUAUUUUAUCUCAGCCAUUUAUUAUCUGUUUAUCUUUGGCAUUUAUGCCUCCGAAGUUCACUCUCCGGCCUUCUCCACAUGGGUUCACCCGGGGUCACCGACUUGGUCUCUGAACUUCUAGAAGGCAGACCUACUUGGGCUCUUAUCGCCCUCAUCACAAAAUAAUCUCAUUUUGUGCGUUUCAUAGGAAGGGGUGGCCUAACUUGGAAACAUUGCUGGAACCCACUGGUUGGGGACAAGGAUUGCGUGUCGCCAUGAUGCCCGAGAGGCACCCAGCACAGGGGGAGCACUCGAUAAAUGGGGCUGGGUUAUUACGGUUCCUUUCGUUCCCUGUCCUCGUCCUCUUUCCUUAUAUCAUAGGUUAGCAGGUCACUAGUCAGAGUUCCUAACUGACACUCAAUGGCAAGAACCCAACUGUGCGAAUGAGGCAAGUUACCUUCCCAUACCGCAGUGAUUGGUUACUGGGUCGUCAACUUGCAAGAUGAUCUCCAGACGAUUCCUACCUCCCGGUGUUCACAUUGCUUUUCUUUUCUUUUUUUUUUUUUUUAAUG
Herpailurus yagouaroundi (jaguarundi) is the source of this 4618-nucleotide long non-coding RNA. RefSeq lists it as uncharacterized. The transcript has 3 exons. Lineage: Eukaryota; Metazoa; Chordata; Mammalia; Carnivora; Felidae. The record is from RefSeq and is a predicted model, not a curated record.